This 238-nucleotide long non-coding RNA is filed under the name Homo sapiens (human). Its description in RNAcentral is "HSALNT0192001". Lineage: Eukaryota; Metazoa; Chordata; Mammalia; Primates; Hominidae. The record is from RNAcentral.
AGAUAUUCUUCUUUCUAGAGCUCUUCGUUCCUAGAUCGAUUUAAGGAAGCAGAAGUUAUGCCUACAAGACUAUUUGGCCUGUUUAGUUGACUUGAAGCAUACAGUGAACUGCUCAUAGUAGAAAGUGAAGAGGAUGGAGUGGUUGAACUUGAAGUUGAUACUGGCCUAUAACGCUGGUUGUCUUGCUUGUCUAGAUCUUGCUUUUCUUUGGGAUUCAGACUCUUCAUCCCUAACAGGA